GAGAGAGAGAGAGAGAGAAGUGGAAACUUUUUCCAAGCGUGUAGAUUAUAUAAGGCUUGGUAGGAUCACGAACGAGCGAAGAAUGGAAUAUUGGGUGGUGAGAAGUACUGUCUCACGAGGUGCAACCCCGGCUGUGUUCGAUGGACAACUGGAGGCGGGGUAUGUGCUGCCCCAUUGGGUUGGAGAACCAGCCCUCCUGGCUGCAACAUCCCCUACCCUCCCUCUCCGCUUUCGAGGAGAGCCAUCGUGUCUCAAGGCCAAACAGCCAAUGCAUUUAACGUGCAUACGAAACCGCGCGACACGUAAACUGUAUCGGACAAAAGUUUUGGAGUUUCGAUGUUGGAUUACGUUUCAAUGAGAGGAAGCUCGAUUCAAGGCGAUUCCAGGGUAGACGAAGAUUUACGUCAAGUUUUACGUUUUUCGUUUUUCCUUCACUUCUUUAUCUGUUGCGUGUCGCAAAGGACGCUUUACGAUCAAUUUAGAAAGUUUCAGCACAAUUUUCAACGUGUCAUGGUUUCUCUGGAUAAAGGGAUCG
Long non-coding RNA from Apis florea (little honeybee), 535 nucleotides. Lineage: Eukaryota; Metazoa; Arthropoda; Insecta; Hymenoptera; Apidae. The record is from RefSeq and is a predicted model, not a curated record.